GUAAGUCCAUAGGAAUCAUUACAAUGUAGUCAUUCAAAUUGAAUCAUUUAUGUGUUGUGUUUCAUAAAUACUCAAAGGCAAUAUUCUGUGCCCUCAAGGAACUCUGCUAAUUGUAAUUCAUUCAUAAGUAUGGCUCUACAAUACCCAAGAUGUACUAGUAAAAUUUUUCCCGUAGAGCCAUACUGAUGAAUGAAUCAUUUCUUGUAUCAUAUUUAUGAAUGAAUUACAAUUGUAUGUAUAAUAUGAUCCACAGUCCAGUAGGUGGGACCUCGCUCUUUCACUGCUGGGGCCUGGGGUUCAAUCCUGUCAGGGAACAAAAAUACAUUCCUCAAGUGUGGCAUCGCCAAAAAACAAAACCCCAAAGGCUUAUGCAUAGGAAAAAAUAUAUACUAUACACCAAAAUGGGAAUAAGAUUACAGGGAACUAAGUCUUUCACUGCAAAUUUAUCUGAUAAUUUUUUUUUUUUUUACAAUUAACAUACUAUUUGGGAAAAAAAAUAAUUUUAAAUAAGAGAAAAGUGACUCUGGAGGAAGCUCUGUGCACUAGAGAACAGGGGAUUUUACAUUCACACUGAAAAAAUCUAAAAGGCUACAGUAAAAUCACAACUCAAGUACAGGAUAUAAUGUGUUUCAUGACAGUUCAUCUUAAAAGAUGCAGAAAGUCUAGUUGAUGCCAUGCCUGGCACCACUAUAGACCGGGUCCCCAGGCCCAUGGAAAUAAGUGAGCAGGGAGCCACAUGCGGCGUAGACCAGUUCCAGCAGACACUGCACUUGAAAUCAAGGACAGGGAGAAGCCAGUGAAGGCCACCGGACUGCUGAGCGGCUGCUUAAUUAAUCCAUGCAUCCAUGAAUGAAUGGUCAUUGAGGAUGUUGGUAAUGUUGGAAGACUAUAUUUAAUCCACUGAGCUAUUGAAACCAAAAUGACUUGUGAAAUAGUAGUCAUUUGAAGGAGACUAGAAAUAAAGCCCCCCAAAAUCUAGAGUCACAUGUGUCAUUCUCACACAUGUAUUUCAGCAGACAAUCAUAGAUGUGUUUCAGAUAUCUGAUGGUUCAUCUCUUUAAAUAAUGGGUAAAUUUGUUUUCUGUUGUCCUGCAGGCAGAGUUAUUAGAAGGUAGAGGGAAGCAAAUUUCCAUUUAAGAUGGAAAAGAACUUGCCUAUUUAGUUGACUAUUGAAACUGCUGCCUUGCAAAGAAAUGAACUUCUGGUCCCCGGAAUUGUUUUAACCGGUGUUUUUAAGAUGUAAGUUUUGUCUUUAUUCAGGUAUGGUGAGCAGGGGACUACUGCCAGUGAAAAAAAGAUAGUUUGUUACUGUUCCGAAGAGGAGAGGGCACGCCAUGCCACACAGGGACCCACAGGUGGAUUCUUUACCCACUGAGCCAUCGGGGAUUGGCUAGUGUGAAGAAUUUCAGCAGGCUCUAGGGUAUAGGGGCUGUCCCAGCUGUCUGGUACCUGGCCCUGGGGACAGUUUUGCUGGAUAUGGCUUCCCCAGUAGCUCAGAUGGUGAAGAAUCUGCCUGCGAUGCAAAAGACCCAUGUUUGAUCCCUGGGUCGGGAAGAUCCUCUGGAGAAUGAAAUGAAAACCCACUCUAGUAUUCUUGCCUGGAGAAUUCCAUGGACAGAGGAGCUUGGCGGGCUACAGGCCAUGGGGAUCCAAAGAGUCAGACAUGAUUGAUAGACUAACACUACAACUACUACUAAUCCAAUAUGACUGGUGUUUUUAAAAAAGAGGAAAUUGGGGGACAGACAUGCAUACUGAAUGAAGACAGUCAUCUACAAGCCAAAGAGAAAGGCCUGGAAAAGAUCCCUCCCUCAGGGCCCUCUCAGGAAGAACCAACUCCAUCUUAUUUCAGACUUCUGUCCUCCAGAAUUGUGAGAUGAUACAUUUCUGUUGUUUAAACCACCCAGUCUGGGGUUUUUUGUUAUAGGAGUCUUAACAAAUGGCCUCCCUGGUGGCUCAGUGGUAAAGAAUCCACCUGCCAAUGCAGGAGACACGUUCGAUCCCUGGGAAGAUCCCCUGGAGGAGGAAAUGGCAACCCACUCCAGUAUUCUUGUUUGGGGAAUGCCAUGGACAGAGAAGCCUGGUAGGCUACUGUCCAUGGUUUCAUAAACAGUUGGACAUGACUGAGUGACUCAACAACAACAACAGAUUAACACAAAUCUCAACUUCGGCAUGUUUCAACUGUGCAAAUACCUUCUUUUAGGGUGCUUCAAUUGCCUCACCCGAAAAACAGAGGAUAAACCUUCCCUCGCAGGGCUGCUGAGAAGUUUAAACAAGAUAAGGCUAAGUGAAGAGCACCCAGUUCCCACACUGGAACAGAGUAAAUGCUCGGUAAAUAUUACUUGAGUCUUUCCUUCUUGAACAAACCAAGUAUUUCUUUCAGUUUACCCGACUGUGGUCAGCUCAGCAGCCGGGGGAUGCAGCCUGGUACCAUCGAAAGAAUCCGCUCGAAGCCCUUGGAAAACACAGAAAAAGGCUUUGACAGCUUUGGGCGGCCCCUCUUCACCCUGUGCCUUUGGCCAGGGGUGCCCCUAAGGUUUCUAUUUCGCCCUGUGCAGGAAGAAACCUGUUCCGGAGGACGGCCUCUAGGGGGCGCGCUGUCUUCAGAGCUCGAGCCUGGACUGGCCCCUCGAGCGAGGCAAGGUGGCUCUGAGGCCUCGCGGAAGGCGCGUCCCCCUUCCUCCCCGCGCAGUUUGCUCUCAGUAACUCCGGGAACCGGAAACCCCCUCACUUUCCAGCCCUUCGAUGAGCGCGCACUGAUGCCCCGUGUGCUAUAUCCCUUACUCUGGACAAACCUGUCUUACAGCUAAGUUAAUGCUCAGAGAGGUUAAGUAACUGGCCGAAAGUCACGCAGCCAGCGGACUAGAACCCAUCUCUUCCCGACUCCAAAAGCAGCAAAACAUCUUUGUGGCCCAAGAAGCGCCAAGUGUUCAGUUCUCCAAAGGGAGCCAGUUGGGAGCCCAAAGCACGCACACCACGGAGCCCUGAACCUUGACUGUAUCUGCCUACAGGACCAUUGUGAUCCAGCAGAGCAGCGCUCACGGGAGAACUGACACCAAGCCCAUAUUCAGAAAACACUCUUUAAUGAAGGC
Molecule: long non-coding RNA, 3089 nt
Organism: Bos taurus (domestic cattle)
Lineage: Eukaryota; Metazoa; Chordata; Mammalia; Artiodactyla; Bovidae
Source: Ensembl